UGGCGGACGGGUGGGUAACGCGUGGGUAACCUGCCUCACACUGGGGGACAACAGUUAGAAAUGACUGCUAAUACCGCAUAAGCGCACAGGACCGCAUGGUCCGGUGUGAAAAACUCCGGUGGUGUGAGAUGGACCCGCGUUUGAUUAGCUAGUUGGUGGGGUAACGGCCUACCAAGGCGACGAUCAAUAGCCGACCUGAGAGGGUGACCGGCCACAUUGGGACUGAGACACGGCCCAA
RNAcentral lists this ribosomal RNA (238 nucleotides) under uncultured bacterium. Its description in RNAcentral is "partial 16S ribosomal RNA". It matches the Rfam family "Bacterial small subunit ribosomal RNA", at positions 96 to 334 of the family's 1533-position model. The record is from RNAcentral.